UGGGGAAUAUUGGACAAUGGGCGAAAGCCUGAUCCAGCCAUGCCGCGUGAGUGACGAAGGCCUUAGGGUUGUAAAGCUCUUUUGGCGGGGAAGAUAAUGACGGUACCCGCAGAAUAAGCUCCGGCUAACUUCGUGCCAGCAGCCGCGGUAAUACGAAGGGAGCUAGCGUUGUUCGGAAUCACUGGGCGUAAAGCGCACGUAGGUGGAUCGUUAAGUCAGGGGUGAAAGCCCGAGGCUCAACCUCGGAAUUGCCUCUGAUACUGGCGGUCUAGAGUUCGAGAGAGGUGAGUGGAAUUCCUAGUGUAGAGGUGAAAUUCGUAGAUAUUAGGAAGAACACCGGUGGCGAAGGCGGCUCACUGGCUCGAUACUGACACUGAGGUGCGAAAGCGUGGGGAGCAAACAGG
This 404-nucleotide ribosomal RNA is filed under the name uncultured Pedomicrobium sp. RNAcentral describes it as "bacterial SSU rRNA". It matches the Rfam family "Bacterial small subunit ribosomal RNA", at positions 355 to 776 of the family's 1533-position model. The record is from RNAcentral. Lineage: Bacteria; Pseudomonadati; Pseudomonadota; Alphaproteobacteria; Hyphomicrobiales; Hyphomicrobiaceae.